UUUAAGUUUUUUAUAUCCCAUUGUUUACUUACCCUGUUGCUUUCACUGGACAGAUUUCACCUUGUGUGGGUCCUUUGGCUUGUGUGAAAUACCACUUGCCAAAGAGUUGCCAGUGGUAAGACCUAUUUAUCAAAACUUGAGUUUCAAUAAACACAACUGUCUGAAUAUUUUUUUUCUUUAAUGAAAUAAAACUUUCAACAACGGAUCUCUAGGCUCUUGCAUCGAUGAAGAACGCAGUGAAAUGCGAUAAGUAAUGUGAAUUGCAGAAUCUCGUGAAUCAUUGAAUCUUUGAACGCACAUUGCGCCCUAUGGUAUUCCAUUGGGCAUGCCUGUCUGAGCGUCAGCUCCCCCUCCACUCAAGAAUUAUUUUAUAUGAUACUUGGAUUACUUUGGAGAUGUAACUGUAUAUUAAGUUGCCCUCCAGAAAUUCAUUGGCAGUAUGGUUUGUACUUGGACCAGACGUAAUAGUAAUAAAAUCGUUUGUUUGGGUAUAAUUGAAUUGUACUUGCCUUAACCCCCACCCAUUUUUAUUUUGGGUGACCUCAGAUC
This 549-nucleotide unclassified non-coding RNA is filed under the name Terfezia boudieri. RNAcentral describes it as "sequence contains ITS1, 5.8S rRNA gene and ITS2". The stretch from base 190 to 343 matches the Rfam family "5.8S ribosomal RNA". The record is from RNAcentral. Lineage: Eukaryota; Fungi; Ascomycota; Pezizomycetes; Pezizales; Pezizaceae.